This 460-nucleotide ribosomal RNA is filed under the name uncultured bacterium. RNAcentral's name for it is "partial 16S ribosomal RNA". It matches the Rfam family "Bacterial small subunit ribosomal RNA", at positions 338 to 795 of the family's 1533-position model. The record is from RNAcentral.
CCUACGGGAGGCAGCAGUGAGGAAUAUUGGUCAAUGGACGCAAGUCUGAACCAGCCAUGCCGCGUGCAGGAAGACGGCUCUAUGAGUUGUAAACUGCUUUUGUACGAGGGUAAACGCAGAUACGCGUAUCUGUCUGAAAGUAUCGUACGAAUAAGGAUCGGCUAACUCCGUGCCAGCAGCCGCGGUAAUACGGAGGAUUCAAGCGUUAUCCGGAUUUAUUGGGUUUAAAGGGUGCGUAGGCGGUCGGAUAAGUUAGAGGUGAAAUCCCGAGGCUCAACUUCGGAAUUGCCUCUGAUACUGUUCGGCGAGAGAGUAGUUGCGGUAGGCGGAAGGUAUGGUGUAGCGGUGAAAUGCUUAGAGAUCAUACAGAACACCGAUUGCGAAGGCAGCUUACCAAUCUAUAUCUGACGUUGAGGCACGAAAGCGUGGGGAGCAAACAGGAUUAGAUACCCCUGUAGUC